This is a non-coding RNA of Pelobates cultripes (western spadefoot toad), 681 nucleotides long. NCBI's taxonomy places the organism in Eukaryota, Metazoa, Chordata, Amphibia, Anura, Pelobatidae. The record is from the annotation of a GenBank genome assembly.
AACAGAGACCUUAUGGUUUACCCCUAAAGAUGCCCCAGAGAUAUCCUGGCCUCAUAAUUUUUUUAUGAAGUUAUUGCCCAAACUGGUUCUUUCAUUUCAAAAUAAACAGGGGGAGGGGGGAAAUCUAACUCUGCUUUCUACCUGUUUGGCUACACUGGCCUUAAAUUUGAAAUUCAGUAUGCAUUUACACUUUAGUGAAACCAUCUGGUUUCUUCCCUAUAAUGAGAAUUUCAAAUUUUAGGGUGAUAUAGCUAAACUGUAAGCAUAGCUUGUUUAGAAAAUGUUUCCAAUUCUGCUAUUUAGGAAUUAAUUUUGAAUUUCCAUUUUAGUGAAUAACCCUGCAACUUAUUUUUCAAUUGCUCCAUUUCCUUUUCGUGAGUAUCUUAUGGUUAGUUGUGGAAAGUCUCACCAGACCUGGACAGAACUGCUUUGAACAUACCAGUUUCUGAUAGAGCCUUUGAAGGUGACAAAUGGGCUGUAAUCGAAAUGGAUCAAAAGUAUAGUGGUAGAUCACAUACAGUAAUGUGAUGCAAGUUAGUGAAAAUGACUGUUAGGUCUAAAAGGUAGUACAACUGUUUGAUUCCAAUUUGGUAACAUAAGCCAGGAGGGGGCAUCAGUUGGCAGUAUUGUUGCCAAUAAUAUGGGACUUAUUACAAUGGUCACUUUUAAAGAAGCACUAAG